CAUUUUUAGACGUUUGAUGGAAACCCAUUUUGAUUUCUUGUGAGCUCCGCUUAUAGAAAGGUAUCAACGGGGAAUGAGAUUAGUUAGUUUUUUAUUCAGCUUUGUUGGUAAACUUCCUUUGAGCUAUUGUUCUUUAGUCGGAUAUUUGGAAAGUUGGUCAAAUUUUGAGCUGUUUUCUGAUUUAAGAACUGAAGUCAGUUGGAUUGUUGAGCUUGAUUUGAAAUUUAUUUUAGUGCCAGUCUAAGAAGUUCUCUCUGGAGGAGUUGACAAAACUUUUCCAGUUCGUUGUGUGUGGAAUCUACAAGGUGUUGAAUUGGAUCAUCAGUUAUCCAUAAUGCCGAUGGGUUCUACAGACCACACUUUGAUCACCUUUCAACCACCAGAUGGAAUCAUGUCGGUGACUUUUAUUUCGCAGAUCAACAAAGAAACUGUUGAAGGCUGAGCCUAAGUUCAAUGAAUGAAGAGUUCCCUCUGCAUCAAUCAUAAUGGCUUCGUGUACGAUGAACUUUUGUACUUGCCUCGCAGGUGGAUUGUUUGAUGAUAUUGAAGGAAGGAACACGGCUUUUGCGUUUGGGUUUUGUUGGGGCAGGUAGUUGCGACAGCAAGACAAAGAGCUAUGAUGAGAAAUUGGCUAAGGAUCUUUGAAAUGCUUCCUCUCUUAAAAUUAUGGAAAGAUCCUGCAGAAAUUUAGGAAUGCCAUUGCAUUUAUUUUCAGCACUUCAGGUGCUUAUUUGCGUAUAAUGUUAAUCCCGCAGCGGAUCCAUUCAAACGAGCCUAUGAAGUGAAACCACAAAUGUAUCUCUAUGCAUCAAAAACCUGAAGAUGAUUUUCAUGUAAGGUUUUCUAUUUUAAUUGAAUAACCUGCACGAGUCAUGGCCUAUCUAUUUUGCAUUUUUGCUUGGAGUGGAAUCCUCCUUCCUGUUUGCUCUUUCUUUGAGUAGCAAGAAAUGGUUGUUCUUACUUUAAGCCAGAACCUCUCCAUCUUGUACGACUACUAUUUUGAUUCUUCUUUUUCUGGAUAUAUGGAGAAAUUUCUGUGAAGAAUACGUAUAUAUGUGUUUGUGUCUUUGUCCCGCUAUCUAUUUUGCAUAUUUGCUUGGAGUGGAAUCCUCCUCUUUCUGUUUGCUCUUUCUUUGAGCAACAAGAAAUGGUUGCUCUUACUUUAAGUCAGAACCUCUCCAUCAUGUACGACUACUGCUUUGUGUGAUUCUUUUUUUCCAGGAUAUAUGGAAAAACUUCUAGUGAGGAAUCUUUUUCUAAUACAUUUUAUUAGGGCGACAUAGACACUCUGUGGGAACCAAAAAAAAUUCUGGUAUCUAGAAAGUCAUCUCUUUAAUAAUUUGAUAGGGGAAAAUAAAUACUCCUCAAAUUUUAAGUGUUAAAUUUUGUGGUCUUAAUUAAGUCUUUUAAAUCUUGUGAUCUUAAUUUUGUUACCUAGAAGUAGAAUCAAAUAACUUACUAAAUAUAAAAAGAGAUAGUACUACUUUUUUUUGGGACAGACCAAAAAGAAAAAAAAUAAGACACUUAAAUUGACAGAGAGGAAGUAUCACAUGCUCGGUGGAAACCCGGAAAAAAAAAAAAAAAAAAAACU
This is a long non-coding RNA of Capsicum annuum, 1591 nucleotides long. RefSeq lists it as uncharacterized. The record is from RefSeq and is a predicted model, not a curated record. Lineage: Eukaryota; Viridiplantae; Streptophyta; Magnoliopsida; Solanales; Solanaceae. The transcript is spliced from 2 exons.